This 253-nucleotide ribosomal RNA is filed under the name uncultured bacterium. Its description in RNAcentral is "partial 16S ribosomal RNA". It matches the Rfam family "Bacterial small subunit ribosomal RNA", at positions 524 to 776 of the family's 1533-position model. The record is from RNAcentral.
UACGUAGGGGGCUAGCGUUGUCCGGAUUUAUUGGGCGUAAAGAGCGUGUAGGCGGCCAUGUAGGUCCGGUGUGAAAACUCGAGGCUUAACCUCGAGAUGUCAUCGGAAACCAUUUGGCUAGAGUCCGGAAGAGGAGAGUGGAAUUCCUGGUGUAGCGGUGAGAUGCGCAGAUAUCAGGAAGAACACCAAUGGCGAAAGCAGCUCUCCGGGACGGUACUGACGCUGAGACGCGAAAGCGUGGGGAGCGAACAGG